This 253-nucleotide ribosomal RNA is filed under the name uncultured bacterium. RNAcentral's name for it is "partial 16S ribosomal RNA". It matches the Rfam family "Bacterial small subunit ribosomal RNA", at positions 524 to 776 of the family's 1533-position model. The record is from RNAcentral.
UACGUAGGGUCCGAGCGUUGUCCGGAAUUAUUGGGCGUAAAGGGCUCGUAGGCGGUUUGUCGCGUCGGGAGUGAAAACACGGGGCUUAACCCCGUGCCUGCUUCCGAUACGGGCAGACUAGAGGUAUGCAGGGGAGAACGGAAUUCCUGGUGUAGCGGUGAAAUGCGCAGAUAUCAGGAGGAACACCGGUGGCGAAGGCGGUUCUCUGGGCAUUACCUGACGCUGAGGAGCGAAAGGGUGGGGAGCGAACAGG